Molecule: non-coding RNA, 693 nt
Organism: Lates calcarifer (barramundi perch)
Lineage: Eukaryota; Metazoa; Chordata; Actinopteri; Centropomidae
Source: the annotation of a RefSeq genome assembly
AUGGUCAAAGUGAAGUCAGAGCCGCUUCCACUGCCACUAAACCGAGCUGGUGUUCCUGAUUCACAACAUACAAUUACUAGUCAACUCGUCGUUGACUUGGGUGUGGUGCGGCCCACCCUGACUGUCCUCCCCCCCUCCAAAGAGGAGAUGCAGCAGGGCAGUGCCACACUGGUGUGUCUGGCCAGCGGAGGCUUCCCCUCAGCCUGGAGUCUGGGCUGGAAGGUGGGGGGCAAAAGCAGCUCCUCAGGGGUGUCACACAGCCUGGAGGUCCUGGGAGGGGACGGCCACUACAGCUGGAGCAGCACCCUGAGCCUCUCUGCAGACCAGUGGAAGAAGGCGGGCUCAGUGAGUUGUGAGGCCGGUCUGAAUGGACAGAGCCCUGUCACUCAAAUCCUGAACCCUGACCACUGCUCAGAGUAGAGCUUCAGCAACACUUCCUGUCUGGAAAUGAUGCUGCUUCUUUGAUAGAGAUCUUCAUCAAGCUUCACAUCUCCUCUCUUCACAUAGUUCUCUACUCAGUGUAUUAGUGCAUGUUGCUUUCUAAUACUGAUCUUCUACGUAAUCUGCUUUAUGUUCAUUACUUUUCAAAAUAAAAUGAAAUUUUUUUGGUUCACUCUAAAAGAAACAUUUCUGUCGUCAGAAAUAUUGAGCAAACCUUUAAUCAUCAUUUAAUAAAACUGUGUAUUAUGAUGA